GGAACAGCGUGGGCGGUGGGGGGGUGAAUAGGGAGGGUGGAAGGGUUGUCGCGAAUGUUUGGGUUGAAAGGGUGCGUAGGCGGCCAAUUAAGUGAUUGGUGAAAGAAUUCGGCUCAACCGGAGCAGUGACAUUGAUACUGGUUGGCUUGAGUGCUGCAGGGGUACAUGGAAUUGAUGGUGUAGCGGUGAAAUGCAUAGAUACCAUCAGGAACACCGAUAGCGAAGGGAUUGUACUGGGCGGCAACUGACGCUGAUGCACGAAAGCAUGGGUAGCGAACAGGAUUAGAUACCCUUGUAGUC
Molecule: ribosomal RNA, 300 nt
Filed under: uncultured Spiroplasma sp.
Lineage: Bacteria; Bacillati; Mycoplasmatota; Mollicutes; Entomoplasmatales; Spiroplasmataceae
Description: bacterial SSU rRNA
Rfam family: Bacterial small subunit ribosomal RNA (bases 53-300)
Source: RNAcentral